AAUACGAAGUUAGAAAAACAACCUGAAAUUCAAGAAAAUGACCCUUCACAAAGCGCAAAAAAAGAGUGUGAAGAUGAUAUUUUGAUAGAGAUAUGAAUGCAGAGAAAGAAGUGUAAAUACCAGUAGAUAAACAUCUGGAGAAAGAAAAAGGAGGAAGAAGAUGGGGGUCUGGAAGCAGAAGAGAGUUUGAGUGCAGUGGAAGAUGGAAGGAAGGGUGGAAGAUGGAAGAUGGAAGAUGGAAGGAAGAGACGAGGGAGAGAGAGGGAGGAAAGGUGAGAAACACUGACUUAGUGUAAGAAAAAAAAAUCGUGUCAAUCUACCGUUAGCCACAUCA
This 334-nucleotide long non-coding RNA is filed under the name Vigna radiata. RNAcentral's name for it is "long non-coding RNA (VRAD_LNC001856)". Lineage: Eukaryota; Viridiplantae; Streptophyta; Magnoliopsida; Fabales; Fabaceae. The record is from RNAcentral.